GAAUAUUGGGCGUAAGAGCUCGUAGGCGGUUUGUCGCGUCUGCUGUGAAAUCCGGAGGCUCAACCUCCGGCCUGCAGUGGGUACGGGCAGACUAGAGUGCGGUAGGGGAGAUUGGAAUUCCUGGUGUAGCGGUGGAAUGCGCAGAUAUCAGGAGGAACACCGAUGGCGAAGGCAGAUCUCUGGGCCGUAACUGACGCUGAGGAGCGAAAGGGUGGGGAGCAAACAGGCUUAGAUACCCUGGUAGUCCACCCCGUAAACGUUGGGAACUAGUUGUGGGGUCCAUUCCACGGAUUCCGUGACGCAGCUAACGCAUUAUGUUCCCCGCCUGGGGAGCACGGCCGCAAGGCUAAAACUAAAAAGAAUUGACGUCGACCCGCACAAUCGUCUUAGCAUGC
This 395-nucleotide ribosomal RNA is filed under the name Microbacterium sp. R2-68. Its description in RNAcentral is "bacterial SSU rRNA". It matches the Rfam family "Bacterial small subunit ribosomal RNA", at positions 547 to 942 of the family's 1533-position model. Lineage: Bacteria; Bacillati; Actinomycetota; Actinomycetes; Micrococcales; Microbacteriaceae. The record is from RNAcentral.